GACGAACGCUGGCGGCGUGCCUAAUACAUGCAAGUAGAACGCUGAAGGAGGAGCUUGCUUCUCCGGAUGAGUUGCGAACGGGUGAGUAACGCGUAGGUAACCUGCCUGGUAGCGGGGGAUAACUAUUGGAAACGAUAGCUAAUACCGCAUAACAGUAGAUGUUGCAUGACAUUUGCUUAAAAGGUGCAAUUGCAUCACUACCAGAUGGACCUGCGUUGUAUUAGCUAGUUGGUGAGGUAACGGCUCACCAAGGCGACGAUACAUAGCCGACCUGAGAGGGGGAUCGGCCACACUGGGACUGAGACACGGCCCAGACUCCUACGGGAGGCAGCAGUAGGGAAUCUUCGGCAAUGGACGGAAGUCUGACCGAGCAACGCCGCGUGAGUGAAGAAGGUUUUCGGAUCGUAAAGCUCUGUUGUAAGAGAAGAACGAGUGUGAGAGUGGAAAGUUCACACUGUGACGGUAUCUUACCAGAAAGGGACGGCUAACUACGUG
This 495-nucleotide ribosomal RNA is filed under the name uncultured bacterium. RNAcentral's name for it is "partial 16S ribosomal RNA". It matches the Rfam family "Bacterial small subunit ribosomal RNA", at positions 28 to 507 of the family's 1533-position model. The record is from RNAcentral.